CAGUAGCCACGGUAAUACAGAGGGUGCGAGCGUUAAUCGGAUUUACUUGGCGUAAAGCGUGCGUAGGCGGCUUCUUAAGUCGGAUGUGAAAUCCCUGAGCUUAACUUAGGAAUUGCAUUCGAUACUGGGAAGCUAGAGUAUGGGAGAGGAUGGUAGAAUUCCAGGUGUAGCGGUGAAAUGCGUAGAGAUCUGGAGGAAUACCGAUGGCGAAGGCAGCCAUCUGGCCUAAUACUGACGCUGAGGUACGAAAGCAUGGGGAGCAAACAGGAUUAGAUACCCCGGUAGUCCCUGUCUCUUAUAC
This 301-nucleotide ribosomal RNA is filed under the name uncultured bacterium. RNAcentral's name for it is "partial 16S ribosomal RNA". It matches the Rfam family "Bacterial small subunit ribosomal RNA", at positions 509 to 807 of the family's 1533-position model. The record is from RNAcentral.